UUGGAGAGUCAUUAUCACGUCCACAUCUGCUUGGUUCACUCAAGGCAAGAGAUUCCCCCAGCGCUAAUACCUAUUGGAAGACUUCAUGCUCAGAGUUGCAGGGACAGCAGAGGGAAAAAAGCGAUGGAUGUGGCAACACUAGGGGGCAGGCUAAUACAAAGCAUCAGAGUGGUGUGCAGUAGGGCAGUAGGGAUGAUUCAAGGCAAAGGAGUGAAAGGAGGAAUUCUACUCAUGUGGAGAGCAGUUUCUUGCUUUUUUAACCUUGUAAAUCAGCUUUCUCUCUUUUUGUUCACAUAUAACCAUUACUUUGUAACUGACCAUUCAAAUAGCAUUUCAUUCUCGUAGACAACUGUUUUUGUGUAAAUCCUGUUCACUUCCUUACAAACUGGCACAAGAACAGAAAAACAAUAGCUUUAUCCUGAUUCGGCCUCCUUUGUUUUCUGCUCAACAUUCUCCACUCAGCGUCUCCUCACGGUUACAUAAACAGCAUCUGAGCUGGCCAGCCACAUCCUCCGCGUUGAAUUCCAUUAAAUUUGCUCAUAAUGGCUGUGGUGUGGCUGUUUUGCUUCGGGGUGGAGGUCCUGCUCUCUCUCUCUCUCUCUUUCUCUUUUCUCUGAGUUGGUAAGACUGCACUGAAGGGUCUGCUUAGCAGGGAAGCCGGCUUUCCUUCAUGUGGCUGCAGAGGAAUGAGAGUCGCCACCACAGUAGAAGGACCUGCUUCAGCGAGCUGUAAUAUGAGUCGGGAAAACAACACCAGGCACCUCCAGCAAUGCUCAUUGUGUGUGUGUUCUCUAAGUUGGUACUCAUGUGUUGAAUAUUUCUGCAGGUUAUACCAGUAAGUAUUUGAAAAAGUUUGUGUGCAGCCUUCUCAGUGUGCAGCUACAAGUCCUAAGGGUGGUGUUUCCACUAGCUUUGCAUCGAAAGACUGAAACUUUUGCUCAUUCAUCUUUGUAAAAUAGUUCAAGCUCAGUCAGACUGAAUGGAGAGGACCUAUGGACAUCAAUGUUCAAGUCUUGCCACAGAUUCUCAGCUGAAUUUUAGGUCUGAACUUUAUUCUGGUGCAUUGUAAUACAUGAAUAUGCUGGUGACCUAAAACUCUGUCUAUGUUUAGGAUCAUUGUCGACUGGAAGGUGAACUUUCACCCCAGGCUUGAGUCUUCUGCAGUCUUUUCUUCCAGGAUUGCACUGUAUUUAAUACCAUCCAUCUUUCCUGUCACUGCUGAAGAAAAGCAUCCCCACAAAAUGACAAUGCCACCAGCAUGUUUCACCUUGGAGAUGGUGUGUUUAGGGGUGUUUGGGAUUUUAUUUAGGGAUUUUAGAGUGAACACAACUUUAUGUUGUUUUAUCACAUAAAAUCCCAAAUAAAGUGCACUGUAGGUUUUUGGUAAGUUAACAAAAUGAUAAAAGGGACUUUAUUUAUAUACGUACAUUAUUUGUGGAUUAAAGCAGCAGUAGGUAACUUUUGUAAAAAUCUAUUUUUUACAUAUUUGUUAAAAGUGUCACCAUGCCCUGACAGUACAAUAUGAGACAGAUUAUCUUUGAAAAAAAAAAAGAAACAAGCUCCUUUGGCUCCUCCCAAUGGUCCUACUGCCAUUUGCAGAAAUACAAGUCGGAAUAUAUUUGGGUGUGUUGGUCAGAAUUGGGUUGGGAUUUUAUGGCCAUCGGCCCGGGUCUGGUCGGGCUGGAUUUUAUGAGCUCGAUCUAUACUCAACCCCCAGCUACAGUACUACCAGUCCACACAUGCAACAUUUUUUUCUCACGCAUAAAAUGAUAAAAUCGGGGAUAUUUCCGGAUACAGCUUAACCCAAGGACAGCUAGUCUAAAACCAGCACUGAAAUCAGACAUGAGGGAUGUUUGUUCACGGUAGUUCAAACAGACCAGUAAUAUUUUAAAUGUGUUUUACACGAUUAAAUGAACAAUAUAUGUAUGAAAUGCAAGCAUUAUUUUAAGCAAUAUUUCCUCAAUAAUAAUCAUAAAGAAAGAAACAUAUAACGAGCCCUAACGGACUGUCACAUAUUUUAAAGUGUCUUAAAACUUUAAGACACUUAAACUUAAAACCAUUCUUUCAUUGUGUGAUUUGUCCUGCCAAACAUGCAGCCAAUUUGCCCUAAACACACCAACUACAUACGGAUCCACCUUGUUGAUGACAUGGUCUUAUCAGGAGGCUGUAACGACUCUAGAUACUUAUCCAUGGGCGAAAAAGUAUGCAAUGUUGCAAUGCUGUGAGGGGCUGUGAAGCGACAUGGAGCCACCCAAGAUGGCAGACUGGAAGUGAGACGGGGACUACAAUGACUUCAAUGAAAAGGGUCCAUUGUACUAAUUGUGUGAGCAGGUCAUAGUCAAUGUAAGGCACAUUGCUGAUGUUUCGUCCCUACCAGUGAAUGUGUCAUAGCUGUUUAUCUGCCAUCAACGUUGGCCCAGCUUACUAGCCUGAGUGUUCACGCCAGGCUCCGCUGUUGGGGAGGAGCUGUGGAGGAAAGGCUGUAAGCACAGCAGAGAUCAAGGGGGAGGGUCCUAUAAGGUGUGCUUGUUCAAACUUUCAGGCUAAGUCCAUGUCGGAGUCUGGGAGUUUUCAUGUAUUGUUUUGCCUGCUGCUAACACUUACUCACCACUAGAUGCCGCCAAGAUCCUCCGGUGUUGAGGGUAGCAGGUGUUCCUCAUUCUCAUCAGCCUGAAGGAGUAUAAGAAGGUGGAGCUGUCAGCACUCCAAUGCCUGAGUGUUAGCCUUUGUGGUGACUUUCAAGUCCAAGCCUCAAAGCUGCAACUUUCAGCUCUGCUUUGGAUCCUGCCUAAGUCAGACUUUCCAAACCUUCAAGAAACCUACCUGGCUCAAGUACUAGCUGACAGCUCAAAGCCUUCGUCCUUCAGUAAGCGAACCCUGCUCACCCUCCACCCAUUACCUUCACAUACUCCUUCUGGAAAUCUCACCAGAGUCAGCAGCUGCUUGAACCAUUCUCCCAGGCUCCACAUCAUUCUCCCUUGACCAAACUCAACUCCAUCUGCAUUUGGUGUUUCCAGUCCCAGUUCCAGUUCCGUUACUCACUUCUGUAAAAAUAAACUUUUAAACUUUU
Molecule: long non-coding RNA, 3070 nt
Organism: Girardinichthys multiradiatus
Lineage: Eukaryota; Metazoa; Chordata; Actinopteri; Cyprinodontiformes; Goodeidae
Exons: 4
Source: RefSeq, a predicted model, not a curated record